RNAcentral lists this ribosomal RNA (899 nucleotides) under Arthrobacter sp. RNAcentral's name for it is "bacterial SSU rRNA". It matches the Rfam family "Bacterial small subunit ribosomal RNA", at positions 8 to 916 of the family's 1533-position model. RNAcentral also lists the same sequence under 4 other names. Lineage: Bacteria; Bacillati; Actinomycetota; Actinomycetes; Micrococcales; Micrococcaceae. The record is from RNAcentral.
AGAGUUUGAUCCUGGCUCAGGAUGAACGCUGGCGGCGUGCUUAACACAUGCAAGUCGAACGAUGACCCGGUGCUUGCACCGGUGAUUAGUGGCGAACGGGUGAGUAACACGUGAGUAACCUGCCCUUAACUCUGGGAUAAGCCUGGGAAACUGGGUCUAAUACCGGAUAUGACUCCUCAUCGCAUGGUGGGGGGUGGAAAGCUUUAUUGUGGUUUUGGAUGGACUCGCGGCCUAUCAGCUUGUUGGUGAGGUAAUGGCUCACCAAGGCGACGACGGGUAGCCGGCCUGAGAGGGUGACCGGCCACACUGGGACUGAGACACGGCCCAGACUCCUACGGGAGGCAGCAGUGGGGAAUAUUGCACAAUGGGCGCAAGCCUGAUGCAGCGACGCCGCGUGAGGGAUGACGGCCUUCGGGUUGUAAACCUCUUUCAGUAGGGAAGAAGCGAAAGUGACGGUACCUGCAGAAGAAGCGCCGGCUAACUACGUGCCAGCAGCCGCGGUAAUACGUAGGGCGCAAGCGUUAUCCGGAAUUAUUGGGCGUAAAGAGCUCGUAGGCGGUUUGUCGCGUCUGCCGUGAAAGUCCGGGGCUCAACUCCGGAUCUGCGGUGGGUACGGGCAGACUAGAGUGAUGUAGGGGAGACUGGAAUUCCUGGUGUAGCGGUGAAAUGCGCAGAUAUCAGGAGGAACACCGAUGGCGAAGGCAGGUCUCUGGGCAUUAACUGACGCUGAGGAGCGAAAGCAUGGGGAGCGAACAGGAUUAGAUACCCUGGUAGUCCAUGCCGUAAACGUUGGGCACUAGGUGUGGGGGACAUUCCACGUUUUCCGCGCCGUAGCUAACGCAUUAAGUGCCCCGCCUGGGGAGUACGGCCGCAAGGCUAAAACUCAAAGGAAUUGACGG